GCGGGAGUAGUUCAGUGGUAGAACGUCAGCUUCCCAAGCUGAAUGUCGCGGGUUCGAUCCCCGUCUCCCGCUCCA
Molecule: transfer RNA, 75 nt
Filed under: Acidobacteriota bacterium
Lineage: Bacteria; Pseudomonadati; Acidobacteriota
Also listed under: 2 other names
Description: Acidobacteria bacterium (hot springs metagenome) tRNA-Gly
Rfam family: tRNA
About the family: Transfer RNA (tRNA) molecules are approximately 80 nucleotides in length.
Source: RNAcentral